RNAcentral lists this ribosomal RNA (447 nucleotides) under Aeribacillus sp. S48D004. Its description in RNAcentral is "bacterial SSU rRNA". It matches the Rfam family "Bacterial small subunit ribosomal RNA", at positions 95 to 526 of the family's 1533-position model. Lineage: Bacteria; Bacillati; Bacillota; Bacilli; Caryophanales; Bacillaceae. The record is from RNAcentral.
GCGGCGGACGGGUGAGUAACACGUGGGCAACCUGCCCUGCAGACUGGGAUAACUUCGGGAAACCGGAGCUAAUACCGGAUAACACCGAAAACCGCAUGGUUUUUGGUUGAAAGGCGGCUUUUAGCUGUCACUGCAGGAUGGGCCCGCGGCGCAUUAGCUAGUUGGUGAGGUAACGGCUCACCAAGGCGACGAUGCGUAGCCGACCUGAGAGGGUGACCGGCCACACUGGGACUGAGACACGGCCCAGACUCCUACGGGAGGCAGCAGUAGGGAAUCUUCCGCAAUGGACGAAAGUCUGACGGAGCAACGCCGCGUGAGCGAAGAAGGUCUUCGGAUCGUAAAGCUCUGUUGUCAGGGAAGAACAAGUGCCGUUCGAACAGGGCGGUACCUUGACGGUACCUGACGAGGAAGCCACGGCUAACUACGUGCCAGCAGCCGCGGUAAUAC